Molecule: long non-coding RNA, 1076 nt
Organism: Eupeodes corollae
Lineage: Eukaryota; Metazoa; Arthropoda; Insecta; Diptera; Syrphidae
Exons: 5
Source: RefSeq, a predicted model, not a curated record
ACUGUGAAUCUUGAGAAAAUGAAGGUUGAUUGUUAAAGGACUGCUGAGUAGAAUGAGAAUCGUGUAAAAGUGAGUGAUGUUUCUGUCUGCAGUGAUAACAUCGUUUCUCACUCGGACAUUUGAAUGUUUUAUGGUUGUACAUCCAAAUCUAAAAAUGAGUAACAAGAGCGAAGUGUAUGCUGACCGCGAUGACAUACUGCACAACUACGAGUAUCCUUCCUUGUAGAAUUCAAGUGAAAUACUCUUGGUUUGAAUUUAGAUGGUUCCUUACUAGUGGAAUCUAGUGACUUCAACCCUGAUUGGCAAACAACUUCUAAAGAACGAAAACGAGUUUCCAAAAAAACUGAAAAUUCAUGGAAAGAAGGUAGUUUUUGUAGCAAUGUGAAAAUCACGAAGACAUCCCAACUUUCUACUGGCACACCUAAGUUCUUCAAAGCAUGAAGCACUUCUUUCGAUUUAUCUAACAGACACUUGAUGGAAUCUGACGUUUCAACCUUAAUUAUUGGCUGCUCAAAAAAUGAUUUUAACUCACCCAAAUUUUUAUAACUCGUGAAACUCUUUUUGACUUGAGCACAAGUUUUCUUAAAUAAUUUCAUUGAGGCUGAUUCACUCAUUGUAAUAUAUGUAUCAGGAUAAAUGAUGAAAAUUCCACACGAUGAUUUCGACAAAUUCUCCACAGUUUCUGCACAGUAAUGAUGAACGGUGAUAAUGAUGGCAAUAGUUAAAACGGUGACAACGGUAAUAACGGUGACAACGGUAAUGCAGCAACAGUUAUAACGGACAACAGUUAUGAAGCAACGGCAAUCCAAUAUCACAUUUGGUGGUUAAAUUCUCCAAAAAAUAUAGAUUUUCUUUGUUACGUUUAUUGCACUUUGUAUAAUUUGAUAUAAUUACUCACAUGAAUUUAUAAAUUAAUUGUGUUGAUUAAUUGCAGGCUGAGAUGCUGACUGGGUACUUCGCUGGACAGGACACUGAUUGGGAACUCCGCUGGACAGGACACUGACUGGAUGCUCCGCAGGACAAGACAACGUAUGGGUACUUCACUGGACAGUAUGCUCGAUGACGCUCGACGUACA